AACGCACCUUGCGCUCCUUGGUAUUCCGAGGAGCAUGCCUGUUUGAGUGUCAUGGAAUUCUCAACUCUCUUACCUUUGUUGGUAAGCAGAGCUUGGAUUUGGAGGUUUCUGCUGGCUCUUCAUUGAAUCAGCUCCUCUUGAAUGCAUUAGCUUGAACCUUUGUGGAAUGGCUUAUCGGUGUGAUAAUUGUCUACGCCGUUGGCUGUGAAGCUCAUACACUUCGGUGUGAGGAUCAGCUUCUAAUGGUCCUUCAAUGGACAAUCUUUGACCUCUGGCCUCAAAUCAGGUAGGAUUACCCGCUGAACUUAA
This 309-nucleotide unclassified non-coding RNA is filed under the name uncultured Antrodia. RNAcentral's name for it is "partial contains 5.8S ribosomal RNA, internal transcribed spacer 2, and large subunit ribosomal RNA". The stretch from base 1 to 52 matches the Rfam family "5.8S ribosomal RNA", at positions 103 to 154 of the family's 154-position model. Lineage: Eukaryota; Fungi; Basidiomycota; Agaricomycetes; Polyporales; Fomitopsidaceae. The record is from RNAcentral.